Lonchura striata (white-rumped munia) is the source of this 305-nucleotide non-coding RNA. NCBI's taxonomy places the organism in Eukaryota, Metazoa, Chordata, Aves, Passeriformes, Estrildidae. The record is from RefSeq and is a predicted model, not a curated record.
AAAAUAUGGCAUACUCUUCCAGAAGCUGGAGAACCAUUUUCUUUGCUCUGUUGGAGUUUGUGUCUGUCUGGAGGUGCUGGAUGAACUGUGGAUAUCGGGGAUAUGCUGAGUGAGGCCGAGACCUUCUACUCUAACAUCCCCAUUGGCUACUCAAGGAAUAUUGUGAGACUUCUUGGCUUGGAUAAAUCUACACUCAUUUUCCUGCAGAAAGGCACACCUGAGGAAUGUGGCAAGGACCCCUGCUACUGCCACUUGGACUGUCACCUGCUGAAACCAUGGAACAGGGGCUCCUCUGAGGAGGUGAC